This 353-nucleotide long non-coding RNA is filed under the name Capsicum annuum. Its description in RNAcentral is "long non-coding RNA (CANN_LNC018154)". Lineage: Eukaryota; Viridiplantae; Streptophyta; Magnoliopsida; Solanales; Solanaceae. The record is from RNAcentral.
CUCCAUAAUCACCAUAACAACUGAGUAUUAUUUCUAAAGCAUACAACCAUAUACACAAUAGCAAAACAUCUACUUGCCAUAAUCAUCAUCAACAAUCUUUAGAACAUACACACAAGAACUUACCACGGCGUCCCAUACAGCCGGGAAGUACACGAAAGAGAGCAAAACAAAGAACUCAUUACGGCGUUCCGUGCCACCGGAGAGUACACAAAAGAAUACAACCAAUAAUACCAUAAAGCACAACUACUCCAUCAAUUUAUCAAAAACCACAGGUAGCACACCCCCGCCAUGACUCAUUACCGAAAUCCACUUCCAAGUACCCAUACCAUAAUUCAACAUAAAGAAAGCAACAU